Molecule: long non-coding RNA, 204 nt
Organism: Selaginella moellendorffii
Lineage: Eukaryota; Viridiplantae; Streptophyta; Lycopodiopsida; Selaginellales; Selaginellaceae
Exons: 3
Source: RefSeq, a predicted model, not a curated record
AUAGAACUGGGGAGGACAGUAAUGCGUCAGCCACCGUUGGGGUGGCUUUGGAAGGAUCUCGGCCGCUGCUGGUUGAAAUCCAGGUCUUAUGCUCUCCUGCCACUUCACUGCCAAGUAAAAGAACGUUCACUGGAGUGGAUCCAUCUCGAUUCAAUCUGAUUGUUGCCGUCUUACUCAAACAAGCGCGCUUGAGACUUGCAAGAC